This 253-nucleotide ribosomal RNA is filed under the name uncultured bacterium. RNAcentral describes it as "partial 16S ribosomal RNA". It matches the Rfam family "Bacterial small subunit ribosomal RNA", at positions 524 to 776 of the family's 1533-position model. The record is from RNAcentral.
UACGAAGGGUGCAAACGUUGCUCGGAAUUAUUGGGCGUAAAGCGCACGUAGGCGGCUUAGCAAGUCGGAUGUGAAAUCCCUCGGCUCAACCAAGGAAGUGCAUCCGAAACUGCUGAGCUUGAGUACUUAAGAGGAUCGCGGAAUUCCCGGUGUAGAGGUGAAAUUCGUAGAUAUCGGGAGGAACACCGGUGGCGAAGGCGGCAUCCUGGACCGACACUGACGCUGAGGCGCGAAAGCUAGGGGAGCAAACGGG